RNAcentral lists this ribosomal RNA (446 nucleotides) under uncultured bacterium. RNAcentral's name for it is "bacterial SSU rRNA". It matches the Rfam family "Bacterial small subunit ribosomal RNA", at positions 29 to 521 of the family's 1533-position model. The record is from RNAcentral.
AACGAACGCUGGCGGCAUGCCUAACACAUGCAAGUCGAACGAAGCCCUCGGGCUUAGUGGCGCACGGGUGCGUAACACGUGGGAAUCUGCCCUUCGGUUCGGAAUAACAGUUAGAAAUGACUGCUAAUACCGGAUGAUGACGAAAGUCCAAAGAUUUAUCGCCGAAGGAUGAGCCCGCGUAGGAUUAGGUAGUUGGUAGGGUAAUGGCCUACCAAGCCGACGAUCCUUAGCUGGUCUGAGAGGAUGAUCAGCCACACUGGGACUGAGACACGGCCCAGACUCCUACGGGAGGCAGCAGUGGGAAUAUUGGACAAUGGGCGAAAGCCUGAUCCAGCAAUGCCGCGUGAGUGAUGAAGGCCUUAGGGUUGUAAAGCUCUUUUACCAGGGAUGAUAAUGACAGUACCUGGAGAAUAAGCUCCGGCUAACUCCGUGCCAGCAGCCGCGGU